AAGACUGUUGGAAAGCAGGGAUGAUGACGGCAACCUUUUGCUAUAUAUUCGUGAUGACCUAAUGCUUAACCUUCGUAAAAGCAGAAUACUUGUGGAAGACUUCGUCAUUACCUCAUACACUGAAACUAGUUCAGACAAUGUGAUCGUUAACGGAGCAGAACUAGAGCGGGACUUGUACCACGACACAGAGCACCGUUCUUCGCUUCUUGUCACGAGACGAGAAAGUGGCGUGGAGGUGAGAGGAAUUUUGAACGAUAAACUCAGGAUUGCACCGGCUGUCCUUGCUGAGCGUGUUGAUCAAGGUCUCAUUC
Molecule: long non-coding RNA, 311 nt
Organism: Rhipicephalus microplus (southern cattle tick)
Lineage: Eukaryota; Metazoa; Arthropoda; Arachnida; Ixodida; Ixodidae
Source: RefSeq, a predicted model, not a curated record